UGACCGCGUAUGAAAGUACGUUUCACCUCGGGUGACAGGGAGACAGGUGGUGGCAUGGUUGUCGUCAGCUCGUGUCGUGAGAUGUUGGGUUAAGUCCCGCAACGAGCGCAACCCCUACGUUUAGUUGCUAACGCGUGAAGGCGAGCACUCUAGACGAACUGCCGUUGACAAAACGGAGGAAGGUGGGAUGACGUCAAAUCAUCAUGCCCCUUAUGUUCUGGGCUACACACGUGCUACAAUGGCCGGUACAGACGGACGCAAAGCCGCGAGGUGGAGCAAAUCCUAAAAAGCCGGUCUCAGUUCGGAUUGCAGGCUGCAAUUCGCCUGCAUGAAGUCGGAAUCGCUAGUAAUCGCAGGUCAGCAUACUCGCGGUCGAAUACGUUCCGGGCCUU
RNAcentral lists this ribosomal RNA (392 nucleotides) under uncultured Pelotomaculum sp. Its description in RNAcentral is "bacterial SSU rRNA". It matches the Rfam family "Bacterial small subunit ribosomal RNA", at positions 992 to 1382 of the family's 1533-position model. Lineage: Bacteria; Bacillati; Bacillota; Clostridia; Eubacteriales; Desulfotomaculaceae. The record is from RNAcentral.